RNAcentral lists this ribosomal RNA (1418 nucleotides) under Klebsiella sp. RNAcentral's name for it is "bacterial SSU rRNA". It matches the Rfam family "Bacterial small subunit ribosomal RNA". Lineage: Bacteria; Pseudomonadati; Pseudomonadota; Gammaproteobacteria; Enterobacterales; Enterobacteriaceae. The record is from RNAcentral.
AGCUACACAUGCAGUCGAGCGGUAGCACAGAGAGCUUGCUCUCGGGUGACGAGCGGCGGACGGGUGAGUAAUGUCUGGGAAACUGCCUGAUGGAGGGGGAUAACUACUGGAAACGGUAGCUAAUACCGCAUAACGUCGCAAGACCAAAGUGGGGGACCUUCGGGCCUCAUGCCAUCAGAUGUGCCCAGAUGGGAUUAGCUGGUAGGUGGGGUAACGGCUCACCUAGGCGACGAUCCCUAGCUGGUCUGAGAGGAUGACCAGCCACACUGGAACUGAGACACGGUCCAGACUCCUACGGGAGGCAGCAGUGGGGAAUAUUGCACAAUGGGCGCAAGCCUGAUGCAGCCAUGCCGCGUGUGUGAAGAAGGCCUUCGGGUUGUAAAGCACUUUCAGCGGGGAGGAAGGCGGUGAGGUUAAUAACCUCAUCGAUUGACGUUACCCGCAGAAGAAGCACCGGCUAACUCCGUGCCAGCAGCCGCGGUAAUACGGAGGGUGCAAGCGUUAAUCGGAAUUACUGGGCGUAAAGCGCACGCAGGCGGUCUGUCAAGUCGGAUGUGAAAUCCCCGGGCUCAACCUGGGAACUGCAUUCGAAACUGGCAGGCUAGAGUCUUGUAGAGGGGGGUAGAAUUCCAGGUGUAGCGGUGAAAUGCGUAGAGAUCUGGAGGAAUACCGGUGGCGAAGGCGGCCCCCUGGACAAAGACUGACGCUCAGGUGCGAAAGCGUGGGGAGCAAACAGGAUUAGAUACCCUGGUAGUCCACGCUGUAAACGAUGUCGAUUUGGAGGUUGUGCCCUUGAGGCGUGGCUUCCGGAGCUAACGCGUUAAAUCGACCGCCUGGGGAGUACGGCCGCAAGGUUAAAACUCAAAUGAAUUGACGGGGGCCCGCACAAGCGGUGGAGCAUGUGGUUUAAUUCGAUGCAACGCGAAGAACCUUACCUGGUCUUGACAUCCACAGAACUUUCCAGAGAUGGAUUGGUGCCUUCGGGAACUGUGAGACAGGUGCUGCAUGGCUGUCGUCAGCUCGUGUUGUGAAAUGUUGGGUUAAGUCCCGCAACGAGCGCAACCCUUAUCCUUUGUUGCCAGCGGUUAGGCCGGGAACUCAAAGGAGACUGCCAGUGAUAAACUGGAGGAAGGUGGGGAUGACGUCAAGUCAUCAUGGCCCUUACGACCAGGGCUACACACGUGCUACAAUGGCAUAUACAAAGAGAAGCGACCUCGCGAGAGCAAGCGGACCUCAUAAAGUAUGUCGUAGUCCGGAUUGGAGUCUGCAACUCGACUCCAUGAAGUCGGAAUCGCUAGUAAUCGUAGAUCAGAAUGCUACGGUGAAUACGUUCCCGGGCCUUGUACACACCGCCCGUCACACCAUGGGAGUGGGUUGCAAAAGAAGUAGGUAGCUUAACCUUCGGGAGGGCGCUACCA